This 68-nucleotide transfer RNA is filed under the name Martinezella lusitana. Its description in RNAcentral is "Rhizobium lusitanum tRNA-Phe". The record is from RNAcentral. Lineage: Bacteria; Pseudomonadati; Pseudomonadota; Alphaproteobacteria; Hyphomicrobiales; Rhizobiaceae.
GUUUUUGAAUGAAUAGGCGGGGAUUGAAAAUCCGCGUGUCGCUGGUUCGAUUCCGGCUCUGGGCACCA